RNAcentral lists this long non-coding RNA (1440 nucleotides) under Salmo trutta (river trout). RNAcentral describes it as "lncRNA (ENSSTUG00000030726.1)". The record is from RNAcentral. Lineage: Eukaryota; Metazoa; Chordata; Actinopteri; Salmoniformes; Salmonidae.
AUGGUUACCCCCAACACAGUCCACCCUACACCCUACUCAUUCCAACAUGGUUACCCUCCAACACAGUCCACCCUACACCCUACUCAUUCCAACAUGGUUACCCUCCAACACAGUCCACCCUACACCCUACUCAUUCCAACAUGGUUACCCCCAACACAGUCCACCCUACACCCUACUCAUUCCAACAUGGUUACCCCCAACACAGUCCACCCUACACCCUACUCAUUCCUACAUGGUUACCCUCCAACACAGUCCACCCUACACCCUACUCAUUCCAACAUGGUUACCCCCAACACAGUCCACCCUACACCCUACUCAUUCCAACAUGGUUACCCCCAACACAGUCCACCCUACACCCUACUCAUUCCAACAUGGUUACCCCCCAAUACAGUCCAACCUACUCAUUCCAACAUGGUUACCCCCCAAUACAGUCCACCCUACACCCUACUCAUUCCAACAUGGUUACCCCCCAAUACAGUCCACCCUACACCCUACUCAUUCCAACAUGGUUACCCCCCAAUACAGUCCACCCUGCACCCUACUCAUUCCAACAUGGUUACCCCCCAAUACAGUCCAACCUACUCAUUCCAACAUGGUUACCCCCCAAUACAGUCCAACCUACUCAUUCCUACAUGGUUACCCCCCAAUACAGUCCACCCUACAACCUACUCAUUCCAACAUGGUUACCCCCCAACACAGUCCACCCUACUCAUUCCUACAUGGUUACCAUCCAACACAGUCCACCCUACUCAUUCCUACAUGGUUACCCCCCAACACAGUCCACCCUACACCCUACUCAUUCCUACAUGGUUACCCCCCAACACAGUCCACCCUACACCCUACUCAUUCCAACAUGGUUACCCCCCAGUACAGUCCACCCUACUCAUUCCAACAUGGUUACCCCCCAACACAGUCCACCCUACUCAUUCCUAUAUGGUUACCCCCCAACACAGUCCACCCUACUCAUUCCAACAUGGUUACCCCCCAACACAGUCCACCCUACUCAUUCCAACAUGGUUACCCCCCAGUACAGUCCACCCUACUCAUUCCUGCAUGGUUACCCCCCAACACAGUCCACCCUACACCCUACUCAAACCUACAUGGUUACCAUCCAACACAGUCCACCCUACUCAUUCCUACAUGGUUACCCCCCAACACAGUCCACCCUACUCAAACCUACAUGGUUACCAUCCAACACAGUCCACCCUACUCAUUCCUACAUGGUUACCCCCCAACACAGUCCACCCUACUCAAACCUACAUGGUUACCAUCCAACACAGUCCACCCUACUCAUUCCUACAUGGUUACCAUCCAACACAGUCCACCCUACACCCUACUCAUUCCUACAUGGUUACCAUCCAACACAGUCCACCCUACAACCUACUCAUUCCUACAUGGUUACCCCGCAGUACAGUCCACCCUACAUUUAGUUCUCACUAG